AAUCAAGAUUACAAUAUAACUCAGAAGUGGCUAACAGAAAUGACUAAAAAUUCAAGAACUUCCUCAGGAAACAAGAAAACAUAAAAUCUGGACCGUGUUUGAUUCUCAGGAACUUUUUGAAUUUUGGCUAGCCAAAGGAGGUGGAUGCGGCGAUGCCUUUGGACUUUUGCAUUUUCGAUGGAACGGUGACAGUUUGAUGGAGGCGUCCGCGCGCCAAUACGUACACGUAUCCUUUUCAAGAAAAACUGGUUUCCGAGUGAGGAUUGAUUUUUUCUUAAGGUGCAUUUUCCUUUUUCUGUAUAAACUUUUUUGUGCAAGUGGAGGAUCGGAAAUUACCAAUGAAGGGCAUUAGAGGUGGCGUGCGUUGCCCAAUGAUCCAAAAUUGCCCCCUUCCUCCACAGCAUUCUGACGUCAGAUCAACCGCCUGCAAUUGAGUGCGAGAACCUGCUUUACGACGAUGAGUCAUUCCUGCAAGUCUAUCUCGCCAACGACACGGUGCAGGGUCAUAAGUCCACGGGCCAAAAGUCCAGAGGAAAUAUUAAUUUGUAAAUAAUAUGGAAACGUUCAAUUUUUUUUUAGUUUUUUUUAUAAUUUUUUUUUUUUGAAAAUUUUAUGUUUUUGUUUUUUAACUGACUGGAUAGGAGUUUCGUUUGUAAAUCUAAUGAAGUUAAUUUCGAAAUUUCACACAAAGCAAAGCAGAACAAACAUUUAUUCAAAAGACGAUUAGUUUGAAGUCUCAUAGAGUGUAUAAUCGCCACUGAUUUGAGGAACUAUCUCGCAAACAAAGCGGGCUAAUUAAUUAUCAAACGGAGAUUAAAAUCAAAUAAAUCCCAACUAAUUGGCGGAAAGCGAAGCGGAAAAAAAUGUUCGCACAUAAGAAUCUAUUUAAAUUGCACAUGCCAAACGCGAAGCGGAAAAAAAAAUUUUCUCACGGGAGAAUCAAUUUUGAAGUGUAAAAAAAAAAAAAAUCGCGCGAAUACUUUUAUAAAAAUUUGUGAUUACAAGCUGACCCGGCGGACUUCGUUUCGCCUCUUCUGAUAUUUACUUCCAAUUUUGGAGUGUGUCAAUCUUUUCAAAAAAAAAAAAAUUCGGGUCACAACAUCAA
Episyrphus balteatus (marmalade hoverfly) is the source of this 1105-nucleotide long non-coding RNA. RefSeq lists it as uncharacterized. NCBI's taxonomy places the organism in Eukaryota, Metazoa, Arthropoda, Insecta, Diptera, Syrphidae. The record is from RefSeq and is a predicted model, not a curated record. The transcript is spliced from 3 exons.